RNAcentral lists this ribosomal RNA (406 nucleotides) under uncultured bacterium. Its description in RNAcentral is "partial 16S ribosomal RNA". It matches the Rfam family "Bacterial small subunit ribosomal RNA", at positions 30 to 526 of the family's 1533-position model. The record is from RNAcentral.
AUUGAACGCUGGCGGCAGGCCUAACACAUGCAAGUCGAGCGAGUGGCGGACGGGUGAGUAAUGUCUGGGAAACUGCCUGAGGGAGGGGGAUAACUACUGGAAACGGUAGCUAAUACCGCAUACCAUCAGAUGUGCCCAGCAGGGAUUAGCUAGUAGGUGGGGUAACGGCUCACGAAGGCGACGAUCCCUAGCUGGUCUGAGAGGAAGACCAGCCACACUGGAACUGCGACACGGUCCAGACUCCUACGGGAGGAAGCAGUGGGGAAUAUUGCCCAAUGGGCGCAAGCCUGAUGCAGCCAUGCCGCGUGUGUGAAGAAGGCUUUCGGGUUGUAAAGCACUUUCAGCGGGGAGGCGUUACCCGCAGAAUAAGCACCGGCUAACUCCGUGCCAGCAGCCGCGGUAAUAC